GAUGAAGAACGUAGCGAAAUGCGAUAAGUAAUGUGAAUUGCAGAAUUCAGUGAAUCAUCGAAUCUUUGAACGCACCUUGCGCCCUUUGGCUAUUCCGAAGGGCAUGCCUGUUUGAGUAUCGUGAACACCUCAACUCUCAUGGUUUGCCAUGAUGAGCUUGGACUCUGGGGGUUUUGCUGGCUCACAGUCGGCUCCUCUAAAAUGAAUCAGCUUACCAGUGUUUGGUGGGUAUCAUGGGUGUGAUAACUAUCUACGCUUGUGGUUUUUCCACCAGGUAACCUUCAGCAGUGGAGGUUCGCUGGAGCUCAUAGAUGUCUCUCCUCAGUGAGGACAGCCCUUUGAAUGUUUGAUCUCAAAUCAGGUAGGACUACCCGCUGAACUUAAGCAUAUCAAUAAGCGGAGGA
Molecule: unclassified non-coding RNA, 404 nt
Filed under: soil metagenome
Description: partial contains 5.8S ribosomal RNA, internal transcribed spacer 2, and large subunit ribosomal RNA
Rfam family: 5.8S ribosomal RNA (bases 1-121)
Source: RNAcentral